CGGGGGAGGAACGCGAGGACAACCUGCCUCACACUGGGGGAUAACAGUUAGAAAUGGCUGCUAAUACCGCAUAAGCGCACAGUACCGCAUGGUACGGUGUGAAAAACCCAGGUGGUGUGAGAUGGAUCCGCGUCUGAUUAGCCAGUUGGCGGGGUAACGGCCCACCAAAGCGACGAUCAGUAGCCGACCUGAGAGGGUGACCGGCCACAUUGGGACUGAGACACGGCCCAAACUCCUACGGGAGGCAGCAGUGGGGAAUAUUGCACAAUGGGCGCAAGCCUGAUGCAGCGACGCCGCGUGAGUGAAGAAGUAUCUCGGUAUGUAAAGCUCUAUCAGCAGGGAAGAAAAUGACGGUACCUGACUAAGAAGCCCCGGCUAACUACGUGCCAGCAGCCGCGGUAAUACGUAGGGGGCAAGCGUUAUCCGGAUUUACUGGGUGUAAAGGGAGCGUAGACGGCGACGCAAGUCUGGAGUGAAAGCCCGGGGCCCAACCCCGGGACUGCUUUGGAAACUGUGUUGCUGGAGUGCAGGAGAGGUAAGUGGAAUUCCUAGUGUAGCGGUGAAAUGCGUAGAUAUUAGGAGGAACACCAGUGGCGAAGGCGGCUUACUGGACUGUAACUGACGUUGAGGCUCGAAAGCGUGGGGAGCAA
Molecule: ribosomal RNA, 650 nt
Filed under: uncultured organism
Description: SSU rRNA
Rfam family: Bacterial small subunit ribosomal RNA
Source: RNAcentral